This 253-nucleotide ribosomal RNA is filed under the name uncultured bacterium. RNAcentral's name for it is "partial 16S ribosomal RNA". It matches the Rfam family "Bacterial small subunit ribosomal RNA", at positions 524 to 776 of the family's 1533-position model. The record is from RNAcentral.
UACAGAGACUGCGAGCGUUAUUCGGAUUCACUGGGCGUAAAGGGUGCGCAGGCGGCCGAGUGUGUGAGGCGUGAAAGCCCGGGGCUUAACCCCGGAAUUGCACCUCAAACUACACGGCUAGAGCAUUGGAGAGGGUAGCAGAAUUCAUGGUGUAGCAGUGAAAUGCGUAGAUAUCAUGAGGAAUACCAGAGGCGAAAGCGGCGCACUGGCCCACAACUGACGCUGAGGCGCGAAAGCUAGGGGAGCAAACAGG